GACCACCACUGCAUCCCUCUGUCCCUGGGCACCGGUGCAGCCUGUGGGCAGAAUUCAGCCAUGUCCCCUCAGGUGCUGCUCGGGAAGAGCUCCCGGGGCCUUUGGGCAGGGCUCUUCCCCACUGCCGCGGUGUGCGUGCAUGGCAGGCAGGCAGCCGGGCUGUGAGGGUGAAUGUGGAGGGAGAGCCUUGGUGUCCAGCACGCUUGGGUGCUUUGCUGGAGAACCUGGGGACUCAGCAUUGAGAGCGCCGGGCUUUUGAGAUGGAUGCUGCCCUUCAGAGCAGCCCUUCAGCUGCCGUCUUCUGAGGCUGUUGCUAUUUCCCAGCUUCUCUGCCAGGUGAUUCCCCCCUAACAACUGCCUCAUGCCCCCCUCUCC
Molecule: long non-coding RNA, 375 nt
Filed under: Gallus gallus (chicken)
Lineage: Eukaryota; Metazoa; Chordata; Aves; Galliformes; Phasianidae
Source: RNAcentral